This 809-nucleotide ribosomal RNA is filed under the name Streptomyces cinereospinus. RNAcentral's name for it is "bacterial SSU rRNA". It matches the Rfam family "Bacterial small subunit ribosomal RNA", at positions 27 to 850 of the family's 1533-position model. The record is from RNAcentral. Lineage: Bacteria; Bacillati; Actinomycetota; Actinomycetes; Kitasatosporales; Streptomycetaceae.
GGACGAACGCUGGCUGCGUGCUUUUACACAUGCAAGUCGAACGAUGAACCACUUCGGUGGGGAUUAGUGGCGAACGGGUGAGUAACACGUGGGCAAUCUGCCCUGCACUCUGGGACAAGCCCUGGAAACGGGGUCUAAUACCGGAUAUGAGCCUCCUCCGCAUGGUGGAGGCUGUAAAGCUCCGGCGGUGCAGGAUGAGCCCGCGGCCUAUCAGCUUGUUGGUGAGGUAACGGCUCACCAAGGCGACGACGGGUAGCCGGCCUGAGAGGGCGACCGGCCACACUGGGACUGAGACACGGCCCAGACUCCUACGGGAGGCAGCAGUGGGGAAUAUUGCACAAUGGGCGAAAGCCUGAUGCAGCGACGCCGCGUGAGGGAUGACGGCCUUCGGGUUGUAAACCUCUUUCAGCAGGGAAGAAGCGAAAGUGACGGUACCUGCAGAAGAAGCGCCGGCUAACUACGUGCCAGCAGCCGCGGUAAUACGUAGGGCGCAAGCGUUGUCCGGAAUUAUUGGGCGUAAAGAGCUCGUAGGCGGCUUGUCACGUCGGUUGUGAAAGCCCGGGGCUUAACCCCGGGUCUGCAGUCGAUACGGGCAGGCUAGAGUUCGGUAGGGGAGAUCGGAAUUCCUGGUGUAGCGGUGAAAUGCGCAGAUAUCAGGAGGAACACCGGUGGCGAAGGCGGAUCUCUGGGCCGAUACUGACGCUGAGGAGCGAAAGCGUGGGGAGCGAACAGGAUUAGAUACCCUGGUAGUCCACGCCGUAAACGGUGGGCACUAGGUGUGGGCAACAUUCCACGUUGUCCGUGCCGCA